RNAcentral lists this ribosomal RNA (492 nucleotides) under uncultured bacterium. RNAcentral describes it as "partial 16S ribosomal RNA". It matches the Rfam family "Bacterial small subunit ribosomal RNA", at positions 29 to 507 of the family's 1533-position model. The record is from RNAcentral.
AGUGAACGCUGGCGGUAGGCCUAACACAUGCAAGUCGAACGGCAGCACAGUAAGAGCUUGCUCUUACGGGUGGCGAGUGGCGGACGGGUGAGGAAUACAUCGGAAUCUACUUUUUCGUGGGGGAUAACGUAGGGAAACUUACGCUAAUACCGCAUACGACCUACGGGUGAAAGCAGGGGAUCUUCGGACCUUGCGCGAUUGAAUGAGCCGAUGCCGGAUUAGCUAGUUGGCGGGGUAAAGGCCCACCAAGGCGACGAUCCGUAGCUGGUCUGAGAGGAUGAUCAGCCACACUGGAACUGAGACACGGUCCAGACUCCUACGGGAGGCAGCAGUGGGGAAUAUUGGACAAUGGGCGCAAGCCUGAUCCAGCCAUACCGCGUGGGUGAAGAAGGCCUUCGGGUUGUAAAGCCCUUUUGUUGGGAAAGAAAAGCAGCAGGUUAAUACCCCGCUGUUCUGACGGUACACAAAGAAUAAGCACCGGCUAACUUCGUG